RNAcentral lists this ribosomal RNA (773 nucleotides) under uncultured Alcaligenaceae bacterium. RNAcentral's name for it is "bacterial SSU rRNA". It matches the Rfam family "Bacterial small subunit ribosomal RNA", at positions 62 to 830 of the family's 1533-position model. Lineage: Bacteria; Pseudomonadati; Pseudomonadota; Betaproteobacteria; Burkholderiales; Alcaligenaceae. The record is from RNAcentral.
UCGAACGGCAGCACGGACUUCGGUCUGGUGGCGAGUGGCGAACGGGUGAGUAAUGUAUCGGAACGUGCCCAGUAGCGGGGGAUAACUACGCGAAAGCGUAGCUAAUACCGCAUACGCCCUACGGGGGAAAGCAGGGGAUCGCAAGACCUUGCACUAUUGGAGCGGCCGAUAUCGGAUUAGCUAGUUGGUGGGGUAACGGCUCACCAAGGCGACGAUCCGUAGCUGGUUUGAGAGGACGACCAGCCACACUGGGACUGAGACACGGCCCAGACUCCUACGGGAGGCAGCAGUGGGGAAUUUUGGACAAUGGGGGAAACCCUGAUCCAGCCAUCCCGCGUGUGCGAUGAAGGCCUUCGGGUUGUAAAGCACUUUUGGCAGGAAAGAAACGUCAUGGGCUAAUACCCCGUGAAACUGACGGUACCUGCAGAAUAAGCACCGGCUAACUACGUGCCAGCAGCCGCGGUAGUACGUAGGGUGCAAGCGUUAAUCGGAAUUACUGGGCGUAAAGCGUGCGCAGGCGGUUCGGAAAGAAAGAUGUGAAAUCCCAGAGCUUAACUUUGGAACUGCAUUUUUAACUACCGAGCUAGAGUGUGUCAGAGGGAGGUGGAAUUCCGCGUGUAGCAGUGAAAUGCGUAGAUAUGCGGAGGAACACCGAUGGCGAAGGCAGCCUCCUGGGAUAACACUGACGCUCAUGCACGAAAGCGCGGGGAGCAAACAGGAUUAGAUACCCUGGUAGUCCACGCCCUAAACGAUGUCAACUAGCUGUUGGGGCC